AUAUGAUUUAUAAUUACAUAAUACUCAAAUUAAUGGACUCUAACCUAUUCUAAUACAAAAAUAACACAAUUCAAAUAUAACACGAUACUUAUAUAUAAUAUAAGAUAUAUUUAGGUUAUAAAAGGUCAACCAUUCAAAUUAACACAAAUGUUAUUUGUGCAAAAAAAUUGCUAAACUCCAAUCCGCCUUUUUAUGUGUUGCAUCGGUUAGUCGUAUGGCAAGUUGAAAAAGUAAUCAAAUAGACCAAAGAAAUUUAGAAGAGAACGAACCCCGUUUCCUUUUAACUUACUGUUGUUCCCUCUUGCCACCGUCACCAUGAAAAGUCUCUUUCUCUCUCUCUCUCUCUCUCUUAUAUCAGAUUUCAUGAACAAUAUCUCUCUUUCCUUCUAUAUAAUAAUCCAUUCACAUAUAUUAUCUACUUAUCUGUCUUGUCUAAUAUCUCUAUAAAUGCGACUCCAAGAAGUUCAUCCUCUGUAAUUCUCCUUCUUUCAAGUUCUCUUCCUCUUCUUCAACAAAAGGCAUUUACAAAAUUAGCUUGCUCAUCUUCGAGGAUACAAAAUGUGCAUGAACUCUGCAAACUUGAGUUCAUCAUACACCAUUACUUCAACGUUAUUUACUUCUCGCUAUGCACCGCCAUCAUCCAAGCGACGCAACCUUCGAGUUUGCCGCCUAAACAGGAGAAGAAGAUCAUCGAAAGAAGCACAAAGAAAGAAGAAGAUGGAAUUAAUAAACCUGAAGCUUUACAGGAAGAACCAAAGCAUCAUAAAGCAGAACGAGAAGCUGAGAAGAAAAGCACUUCUUCUUCGUCAAGAGAACCGAGCCUUAUUAUCUCAGCUACAAACCCAGUUCCCGGAUUAUUCACCGAACCAGUUGCCCCCACAACCAUUUUCAGUAAUAUAAUAAGCAUAAUCAAGCUGAAUGAUUAAUAAGAAUGAAUGGUGCAUAACACAGUGGUCUCUGACCACGACCAGGAACCAACUCGAGUUUGGAUCUUGACAUGUUGGUGGUUUUUAUUCCACUGCUUUCUUCUAGGUUUGAUCCUUCUUAAUUUAGCUUAAUUAUCACCCUCGUUUUGUUCUUUUUUAUUUCAUUGCUGGAAUUCAUUGAAUUGGGAUAUUGAGGAAAUUAUGGAUGUAACCAUUUUUCCCUGUCUAAUUGUUAGAUAAUGUGCGUGGAAUCAAUAGUAAAAAAAAUGAAUACUUGGAUUUUAUCACAA
This is a long non-coding RNA of Mangifera indica (mango), 1216 nucleotides long. RefSeq lists it as uncharacterized. NCBI's taxonomy places the organism in Eukaryota, Viridiplantae, Streptophyta, Magnoliopsida, Sapindales, Anacardiaceae. The transcript is spliced from 2 exons. The record is from RefSeq and is a predicted model, not a curated record.